RNAcentral lists this ribosomal RNA (253 nucleotides) under uncultured bacterium. RNAcentral describes it as "partial 16S ribosomal RNA". It matches the Rfam family "Bacterial small subunit ribosomal RNA", at positions 524 to 776 of the family's 1533-position model. The record is from RNAcentral.
UACGUAGGUGGCAAGCGUUAUCCGGAUUUAUUGGGCGUAAAGGGAACGCAGGCGGUCUUUUAAGUCUGAUGUGAAAGCCUUCGGCUUAACCGGAGUAGUGCAUUGGAAACUGGGAGACUUGAGUGCAGAAGAGGAGAGUGGAACCCCAUGUGUAGCGGUGAAAUGCGUAGAUAUAUGGAAGAACACCAGUGGCGAAAGCGGCUCUCUGGUCUGUAACUGACGCUGAGGUUCGAAAGCGUGGGUAGCAAACAGG